This is an RNA transcript of Vigna angularis (adzuki bean), 1805 nucleotides long. It is a transcript of the gene named putative UDP-rhamnose:rhamnosyltransferase 1, with no coding region annotated. Lineage: Eukaryota; Viridiplantae; Streptophyta; Magnoliopsida; Fabales; Fabaceae. The record is from RefSeq and is a predicted model, not a curated record. The transcript has 3 exons.
AAAUUUAGUCAAAUCCCAAAAAAGAAGAACAAAUAACCAUCCAGAUAACCCAAGAUAAAGAAGCCACACAUUUAUUCUUAAACACAAGAAUAUCCAUGGCGGAGCAGCGUGAGAAGCUUCACGUCGUGCUGUUUCCAUGGCUAGCAUUUGGUCACAUAGGUCCAUUUUUUGAGCUUUCAAAACUCAUAGCUCAAAAGGGUCACAAAAUUUCUUUCAUUUCUACACCUAAAAAUAUCCAUAGCUUACCCAAAGUGCCUGAAAACUUGCAACCUUUGGUGGAUCUGAUAGAACUGCCACUGCCCCGUGUUGACAAACUCCCAGAAAAUGCAGAGGCGACAGUGGACAUUCCUCACCACCUCAUUCCAUACCUCAAGCAGGCUUUUGAUGGUCUUGAACAACCUUUGACCAAGUUUCUGGAGAGACGCAAACCAGAUUGGAUAAUAUACGACUUUGCACCGUAUUGGUUGCCGCCAAUAUCUUCUAAGCUAGGAAUCUCAUGCAUCUAUUUCUGUAUUUUUAGUGCAUCUGCUAUCUAUUUUUUUCUCCUGAAAGACACAGAUUUUGCUGAAGAACAUUAUGAGAAAAAUGAAUCGGGGGUUUCAGACCUGUUUCGAGUCCUUGAAACUUGUAAUGGUGCUCAAGUUACUGCUACAAGAACCUGCAUAGAGAUUGAAGGUGAGCCUCUCAAAUUGUUCGAAAGCAUAUAUAGUAAACCAGUGAUUCCAAUUGGUUUAUUGCCACCUUCACUACAGUUCAGUGAAGACAAUAAUGAUGAAAACUGGGAUAGCAUUCUUAAAUGGUUAGACAAACAGGAAGAAGCGUCAGUGAUGUAUGUAGCUUUUGGAAGUGAAGUGACACUAAGCGAUGAAGAGUUUACUGAAAUUAGUAUGGGAAUAGAAAUGUCUGGUUUUCCCUUUUUUUGGGUUCUUAAAAAGCAAAACACAUCUAAGGUUGAGUUGCAGGAUUUGGUUGUGAAUAACUCAGGAAAGGGUUUGGUGUGGAGAAGAUGGGCACCACAGAUGAGGAUUUUAGCACACAAGUCUGUUGGGGGAUUCCUGACUCACUGUGGUUGGAGUUCAGUUAUAGAAAGUCUUCAAGUUGGUUGUCCACUUGUUAUGUUGCCCUUCCAAAUUGAUCAAUUUGUAGUUGCUAGGCUUAUGGAGGAGAAAAGGGUAGGGGUCAAAGUUAAGAGAAGUGAGCAUGAUGAGAAGUUCACCGGGGAAUCGUUGGCCAAUGCAUUGAGAUCAGUGAUGUUGGAAAAAACUUAUAGAAAUGAAGCAAAGGAAAUGAGCAAAAUAUUUGGGAACAAAGAACUGCACCAAAAAUAUGCAGAUGAGUUUGUUGAAUAUAUGGAAAUCCAUAGGCCUGCCAUAAAGGAUUAGCCUUUCUGCUAUUCUAUUAUAUCAUACAAAAUAGGGUUCCCCUGUCGUUUCUGGUUUUUUUACCUUUCAGGUUGCAAAGACAAUGGAGAUCGAAUCACGAUUGGUGGCAACCUAGCGAGUAGCUCGCAAAGAGGCGCUUGUAUGUUUGGGUGGUCUCUGCAGCGGCAUUGACGAGGUGAUCAGGUUCUGAUUUUGUAUCGCAGUGGUGAAAAUGUUAGGCGAACUCGCGAUUGGGUUCCUGCAAUUUGCAAUUCUGUCUACGGUGACUGCCAUGGAAGCGUGAUUUGGUUACCGGAGAAGAUGAAGAUGACAUUCCAAGAGCAAUGUUUGGUGCUGAUAGUGUUUUUUGGACCUUUCCAUGUGUUGUAUGAUAUGAGAUGAUCACUUUGCCCUUAUUUAAAUUUUAUUUUCCCUCUUUUCACA